GGUAUGACGGUACCCUUUCGAAUAAGAGGUUGCUAACUCUGUGCCAGCAGCAGCGGUAAUACAGAGACCUCGAGCGUUAUCCGGAUUUACUGGGCGUAAAGCGUCUGUAGGGGGUUUGUUAAGUUCCAAGUAAAAUCUUAAGGCUCAACUUUAAGUUCGCUUGGAAAACUAAUAAACUGGAGUCCAGCAGAGGUGCAUGGAACUUGCGGUGUAGGAGUGAAAUCCGUUGAUAUCGCAAGGAACACCAAAGGCGAAGGCAUUGCACUGGGCUGGUACUGACCCUGAGAGACGAAAGCGUGGGGAGCAAAACGGAUUAGAUACCCGUGUAGUCCACGCCGUAAACGAUGGAUACUAGAUGUUCGGGGAUUCGACCCCCUGGGUGUCACAGCUAACGCGUUAAGUAUCCCGCCUGGGAAGUACGGCCGCAAGGCUAAAACUCAAAGGAAUAGACGGGGAUCCGCACAAGCGGUGGAGCGUCUGGUUUAAUUUGAUAGUAAGCAAUGGACCUCACCAAGGUUUGACAUCCUAUGACAACCCUGGAAACAGGGCUUCCUUCGGGCAUAGUGACAGGUGCUGCAUGGUCGUCGUCGGUUCGUGCCGUGAGGUGUUCCGUUAAGUCGGGAAACGAACGAAACCCUCGUCGCAUGUUACAAAUUUCAUGCGAGACUGCCCGGGUCAACCGGGAGGAAGGCGGGGAUGACGUCAGAUCAGCAUGGCCCUUAUACCUUGGGCUACACAGGCGCUACAAUGGCCGGUACAAAGGGUUGCAAAACCGCGAGGUGAAGCUAAUCCCAUAAAGCCGGUCCAAGUUCGGAUUGGAGGCUGCAACUCGCCUCCAUGAAGUUGGAAUCGCUAGUAAUCGUGGAUUAGCCAUACCACGGUGAAUACGUUCCCGGAUCUUGUACUCACCGCCCGUCACACCAAGAGAGUUGUAGCUCCUGAAGC
RNAcentral lists this ribosomal RNA (945 nucleotides) under uncultured organism. RNAcentral describes it as "bacterial SSU rRNA". It matches the Rfam family "Bacterial small subunit ribosomal RNA", at positions 466 to 1427 of the family's 1533-position model. The record is from RNAcentral.